CAGAUAAGAACUGUUUCUGAUGUACGAUGUAGUCGUGAAAUAAUCAUGAUUUUAAUCAUUUUGUCCUUCUCCUUAGAUAACUAGUCUCCUGCUUGGCUAAGUGAAUGUGUGAAACUGCAGAGAUGCAUCAAUUUGAAUCUAAAGUUAAUAAUUUUAAAGCUUAAAGCUUGUACAGUCAAAGUCAAGACAGACAAUAAGCCAAAUGAUAUUCUCAGAUGGGGUAAAAUGGAGAUAAGGUUCCAGACUGUAUGGAGAGAAGAGCGUUUACCGGUUAGUAAGAUUGGGAGUAGAAGUUUGAGACUCUAGGGCUCUGAGGGACGACCAGUAAGUGGUCUAUGUGGGUAAGUAGUCUCGAGGUCUUGCUGAAGAUGGUGAUAUUCUGUAAUAAUUUAGUAGAUAUUCCGUUUCUACAAUGUAUACAUAAACAUAUCAUGUGAUUAGAAUGUAUCUGAAUGCUGCCAACUGAAUCAGUGAGUCCAAAAUUUGAAAAGUUAUCCAGUGAAAUAGUAUUGAAUAAGGUUAAUAAAUAUAUUCCCAUAGUCACCCAUCACUCAACACAGAUAUUUUAGUAUGAUGAAGUAUAAGUACUCUAAACAUUAAAGUAUCAUGUAAGCCUAGCAGCUUCAACGAUAUCUCAUAAACUGCUAAGGAUAAAAAUUGACCUAAAUCUAGUUUUUCGUAUGGUAGUUUCGGAAUAAGAAUUAUUCAUAGGAGAUAAAGUUUAUUAACUUUUUAAUAAUUGCAGGAGCCCCCCUACCAUAGUGGCUCAAACCGGGUAUUGAUACUCGUGGCGAUCACAGCUUUAUGUUUAACAAACAAACAAAGUGAUUGCAGGAAUAUACCACGAGCUUACAAUAGGUGUUUACUGUAUAAAAACCUUCGCCACAGCUGUCAAUGUAUGAAUAUUUUUCAAGUCAAUGAGAUAUUAUAAUUCGAGUAAAAAAAUCGUAUUAAUUGGAACUGCAUCAUUCCAAAAUAUAACCUAAACCUUGUGUAAGCAUAAUGGAAUACCAGGAAAUAUAUGAAUAAAAUAACACUUUUACUGUAUUUUCUACAUAAUAUAGAUUAAGAUGAUGACAACCAGAAAGCCUCAUCCAAAGAUUCUAUAUACAGUCAGUAUUCUUUAUUAUUAUAAGCACGACAACAGGAACCUGACAUGAUCAUUGCAAACUUUUGAGGUCGUUUCUACAUUGAGUCGUAGCCAUUAAGUUUCUUCCUUUCAACGUCCGUUUUUCAAUAUGGUUCCUUAGACAGCUAUGUCCGUCAUUUGAGAUGGAAAUUGUUAAUUUAUUUCGUAUUUAAUGGUCGAACACAUUAUCAUGUUAACAAGAAAUGCGACUGCUUGUUUGAAAAUGCCUUCAAGCUCGUUCGAUAUAGGUCCUGACGUUAUAGCUCCCGGAACGGUGAGGCCUCUGACACGGAUGUUUGAACCAUCAAAAGCAUAGCCACUUUGCAUGGAGCAGUAAUUGGACACCCAGCGUUUUCUCGUGCAUGAUGGCGAUGACAUCAAAUUCCUGCAGUAAGCGAGCUGGUGACGUCAUUUGCCCGGGACUCACAUGUUAAGUUUUAUACGAAGUGGAAACCUGUUUUAGGUUAAUCGGCACCCACUUGACGUAGUCCAGGUUUGUAGCGUGUCUGAAAACAGUGUUUGUGUAUGUUGUUAGUGAAGCAGUUCGUGUCACAGCAUCUCAAAUGUACUCUUUUUGUGCACUUCAAAAAAUAAAAAAGACACCAUAUAUAGCCUUACUCGUAUUCACUCAACCAUUGUCUACAUUUCUUGCAAAACGAAACAUAUUUUUUAUUUAUCUACUCGAAUCUUUAAUCAAGAUUACGUCAAUUAAUCUCUGCACACUUCGAUAUUUUUAUAUUAAAUGGUGCAAUGUUUGUUUAGACUCUUUACAUUUUACACAAUCAGAU
Limulus polyphemus (Atlantic horseshoe crab) is the source of this 1917-nucleotide long non-coding RNA. RefSeq lists it as uncharacterized. The transcript is spliced from 3 exons. Lineage: Eukaryota; Metazoa; Arthropoda; Merostomata; Xiphosura; Limulidae. The record is from RefSeq and is a predicted model, not a curated record.